RNAcentral lists this long non-coding RNA (1009 nucleotides) under Manacus vitellinus (golden-collared manakin). RNAcentral describes it as "lncRNA (ENSMVIG00005005185.1)". Lineage: Eukaryota; Metazoa; Chordata; Aves; Passeriformes; Pipridae. The record is from RNAcentral.
GAAAAUCUACCUCUUUGUGGAACAAAUAAAAUAUUCAGGCACAAACUUCCGCCAUGGACUGUAAAAAAAAGAGAUGGGUUGUUUUUUGUUCUUUUUCUUUUUUAAUUUUUACUUUUUUAUGGCAUUUUUUUCUCCUGCUUUUAGGAUACAUUGUAGUAGAAAGCCAAUGGAGGAAAACAAAGGUAAUAUAUAUAUAUAAAAUCAAAAAUAUAUACGGGCCAAAUGAUAGUGAUUAUAUAUAAUUAAAUCAUAGUUUUUAGGUGUGUGGGUUUAUCUUAUAUUUUAAGCAGUUCCCGUAAAAAGGAGAUAUACAUAUAAAUAUGUAGUCAACAUACAGAAUAUUUAUAUAUGUAUGUAGUAAAUAUAUAGAAAUAUUUCUAUAUCUGUAGAAAUAAUAGAGCAUCUACAUGGGCCUAAAUCUGAAAUUCCAUGGGGAAAAAAGCAGUAUUUUAGGCAUGUAGCUUUUAACAAGGAAGGGGCAACGUUGUAGCCUGUGACAACACUGUGAUGCAGACAAAAAGGUAAGGCAACAUUAAAAAAAUAUUUAAAAAAAAAAAAGAAAAAAAAAGCGUAUGUGGUACCUUGGCUGCAGCCUCCAACAACGAGCGUGUGGAUGUUACGGGAUUUUGGUUUUUUAUGGUAUUACCACGUCUGAUCACACCAAUAUAUGAUUUUAAUUAAGCGAAUGGCGGGCGAGCUGUCGUGGGGAGCAGGCAAGCGGCGAUGGCUUCUUCCCACACCACUCCGGCUCCGAAGAUAAAUCAGUCCUCGGGUGUUAGGGGAUUUCUCCUUGGUUUGUUUUUUUUCCCCCAAGCACGUUUGGGUAUUUUCCAUGCCGUGAGGAAAGCGGGAGAUGGCGGCUCCGACCCCUGCGAAGGAGAAAAGCAGUGCAAGAGAACAGAAUUAGUGAUGAGUCCCCAAAGUCAAUAAGCCGCCUUGACAAACAGGAUAACCUCUGCGAGAAAUAUCUGGGAUUUUUAAUAAAACACCUCACAGGCUCUACUGGACA